RNAcentral lists this ribosomal RNA (270 nucleotides) under Triticum aestivum (bread wheat). RNAcentral's name for it is "partial small subunit ribosomal RNA". The record is from RNAcentral. Lineage: Eukaryota; Viridiplantae; Streptophyta; Magnoliopsida; Poales; Poaceae.
AUGGAAGUUGGAUCCGGUCUCGGCCGCUGUGGCCUCAUUUUCGAGCCGCCCCCACGCAAAACUCGCAUCGAGCUGCCGGGCUUCGUCGGCACGCCUCCGCUGUGGCUCGCCAUGACCGGCGUGGCUCCGUUUGGCUGUCUCCAUCAAACCGCCAUUGCUUUGUUCAUCACCGAGCCGCCGUCACAUGACAUCUUGCUGCCGUGGCCGGACGUGGCCGUCCUCCAGCGCCCACCCAUCUUCUGCGGCUGCACCAUCACUGAGCCGCCAUGA